CAGGACAGGCACCUUCUGUUCCACGUGCAAGCUAUGCUAGCAGCCUUGCCCGCUCUUUGUAUCCCUAUCUACCACAAUAACAAACAGUGUUGCUGAGGCAUUGUUGUUGACGUGUUGCCUUUAAAAAACACCCUCUUGUCAUGGGAUAAGCCUCUUCCUGACGAUGGCCCAUCCUUAUCUGGCCUGCCAAGCAGCCCUGUUGCCAUGGAGGGCCGAUGGGAUGAGGUGUGUUUUUCGCCUGCAUCACUCCCACCGGGGUGUAACAAGGACUCUUGUGCACGUCAUGCGUGGCUGGCCUGUGGCAGCCCGGGGGCCAGGCUCUUCCUGUAGGUAAAACCCAAUCAACUGAUCAGCUGCAGAUAAUAUCAAGACCUCUGUUUGAUACGUUAACAGUGACAGACAUGCUUCCACAAUUCACAGCCCCGUACCCUUUGGCAACAGAGUCGUUGUGGGUGAAGAAAACACUCUAGUCACCAGCUUUGGGAUGAGAGGGCUCGGGUUCAUAUAAACACAACCUCGCGUCACUGCUUGUGACCACAGACUGUUUUGGGUCUUUGCACUCACCCUCUGAUCUUGAUUUCCUACAUGACAACGUUCUUAGUUUAUAUGCCCUUUGGCAAGUGCAGCAAGCCUGUUUCCUGUUUCUAAACUUGUAGACAGCCAUUCAUGUGUCUCGCACUUGUCAAUUUUAACCAGAAAACACCAGCCCCUUCUUGUUGCAUUUUUACCUUUAGCCCAGGUGAAGAGGACCGUAGAAGUAAAGCUGUUGAUUUAUUCGAUAGAAAAUUCUUAAUUAAUUUAAAUAAACUUCCAUAGGACUUGUAAUUUCAAGAAGGAAGUAAGGGGAAAUACACGCCUCCUUUCCUAAAGCCUAAAAAAAUAAGUGGUGACAAGGCUAAAGAUUUAAAAGCAUUGAAACAA
This 921-nucleotide long non-coding RNA is filed under the name Lynx pardinus (Iberian lynx). The record is from RNAcentral. Lineage: Eukaryota; Metazoa; Chordata; Mammalia; Carnivora; Felidae.